RNAcentral lists this ribosomal RNA (465 nucleotides) under Vreelandella stevensii. RNAcentral describes it as "partial 16S ribosomal RNA". It matches the Rfam family "Bacterial small subunit ribosomal RNA", at positions 338 to 795 of the family's 1533-position model. Lineage: Bacteria; Pseudomonadati; Pseudomonadota; Gammaproteobacteria; Oceanospirillales; Halomonadaceae. The record is from RNAcentral.
CCUACGGGGGGCUGCAGUGGGGAAUAUUGGACAAUGGGGGCAACCCUGAUCCAGCCAUGCCGCGUGUGUGAAGAAGGCCCUCGGGUUGCAAAGCACUUUCAGUGAGGAAGAACGCCUGGUGGUUAAUACCCAUCAGGAAAGACAUCACUCACAGAAGAAGCACCGGCUAACUCCGUGCCAGCAGCCGCGGUAAUACGGAGGGUGCGAGCGUUAAUCGGAAUUACUGGGCGUAAAGCGCGCGUAGGUGGCUUGAUAAGCCGGUUGUGAAAGCCCCGGGCUCAACCUGGGAACGGCAUCCGGAACUGUCAAGCUAGAGUGCAGGAGAGGAAGGUAGAAUUCCCGGUGUAGCGGUGAAAUGCGUAGAGAUCGGGAGGAAUACCAGUGGCGAAGGCGGCCUUCUGGACUGACACUGACACUGAGGUGCGAAAGCGUGGGUAGCAAACAGGAUUAGAUACCCCAGUAGUC